This 476-nucleotide ribosomal RNA is filed under the name uncultured bacterium. RNAcentral's name for it is "bacterial SSU rRNA". It matches the Rfam family "Bacterial small subunit ribosomal RNA", at positions 36 to 524 of the family's 1533-position model. The record is from RNAcentral.
ACCUGGCGGCGUGCUUACCAUGCUAGUCGAGCGAGGUCCACCUUUCGGGGUGGUGUCCUAGCGGCGAACGGGUGAGUAACACGUGGGCAACCUGCCCUCAGCUCUGGGAUAACUCCAAGAAAUUGGGGCUAAUACCGGAUAUGACUGCUGACCGCAUGGUCUGGUGGUGGAAAGAUUUAUCGGCUGAGGAUGGGCCCGCGGCCUAUCAGCUUGUUGGUGGGGUAGUGGCCUACCAAGGCGACGACGGGUAGCCGGCCUGAGAGGGUGACCGGCCACACUGGGACUGAGACACGGCCCAGACUCCUACGGGAGGCAGCAGUGGGGAAUAUUGCGCAAUGGGCGAAAGCCUGACGCAGCGACGCCGCGUGGGGGAUGACGGCCUUCGGGUUGUAAACCUCUUUCAGCAGGGACGAAGCGAAAGUGACGGUACCUGCAGAAGAAGCACCGGCCAACUACGUGCCAGCAGCCGCGGUAAU